This 467-nucleotide ribosomal RNA is filed under the name uncultured bacterium. RNAcentral's name for it is "partial 16S ribosomal RNA". It matches the Rfam family "Bacterial small subunit ribosomal RNA", at positions 28 to 507 of the family's 1533-position model. The record is from RNAcentral.
GACGAACGCUGGCGGCGUGCUUAACACAUGCAAGUCGAACGGAAAGGCCCUGCUUUUGUGGGGUGCUCGAGUGGCGAACGGGUGAGUAACACGUGAGUAACCUGCCCUUGACUUUGGGAUAACUUCAGGAAACUGGGGCUAAUACCGGAUAGGAGCUCCUGCUGCAUGGUGGGGGUGGAAAGGUUCGGCGGGUGGGGCUGGACUCGCGGCUUAUCAGCUUGCUGGUGGGGUGGUGGCUUACCAAGGCUUUGACGGGUAGCCGGCCCGAGAGGGUGACCGGCCACAUUGGGACUGAGAUACGGCCCAGACUCCUACGGGAGGCAGCAGUGGGGAAUAUUGCACAAUGGGCGGAAGCCUGAUGCAGCAACGCCGCGUGCGGGAUGACGGCCUUCGGGUUGUAAACCGCUUUCGCCUGUGACGAAGCGUGAGUGACGGUAAUGGGUAAAGAAGCACCGGCUAACUACGUG